RNAcentral lists this long non-coding RNA (1068 nucleotides) under Carassius auratus (goldfish). RNAcentral describes it as "lncRNA (ENSCARG00000005687.1)". The record is from RNAcentral. Lineage: Eukaryota; Metazoa; Chordata; Actinopteri; Cypriniformes; Cyprinidae.
AUGGGAGGAAGGACAGGAGGAUCAGGACUGGACGGAACCAGCGAAAGUGGGGCAGAGGGACCAGCAGGUCCUGGAGGAGGUGGGAGAGGGAGGCUGGGAGGGAACACAGGAGAUACAGAAGAUUCAGAGCUGGGCGGAACCAGCGGACACACAGAAGAUUCAGAGCUGGGCGGAACCAGCGGACACACAGAAGAUUCAGGGCUGGGCGGAACCAGCGGACACACAGAAGAUUCAGGGCUGGGCGGAACCAGCGGAGAAACAGAAAACUCAGGGCUGGGCGGAACCAGCGGAGAAACAGAAGACUCAGGGCUGGGCGGAACCAGCGGACACACAGAAGAUUCAGAGCUGGGCGGAACCAGCGGACACACAGAAGAUUCAGGGCUGGGCGGAACCAGCGGACACACAGAAGAUUCAGGGCUGGGCGGAACCAGCGGAGAAACAGAAAACUCAGGGCUGGGCGGAACCAGCGGAGAAACAGAAGACUCAGGGCUGGGCGGAACCAGCGGAGAAACAGAAGACUCAGGGCUGGGCGGAACCAGCGGAGAAACAGAAGACUCAGGGCUGGGCGGAACCAGCGGAGAAACAGAAGACUCAGGGCUGGGCGGAACCAACGGAGAAACAGAAAACUCAGGGCUGGGCGGAACCAGCGGAGAAACAGAAGACUCAGGGCUGGGCGGAACCAGCGGAGAAACAGAAGACUCAGGGCUGGGCAGAACCAGCGGAAAUGGAGCAGAGGAAAUGACUGGAGGAGGUAGGAGUGGGAGACUGAGAGGGUAUACAGGGGAGUCAGGGCUGGACGGAACCAGCGGGGAAACAGGAAAAUUAGGGGUUACCUCCAUAGACCAGUCCAUCAGAUCCAGAACUUGCUCCAUACGAUCUUCAGAGACUGCAAACAGCUCACCCUCAGUCGCAGGAGUGUGGGCAGGGCUUUCCUCCACGCCCUCGAUCUCCACGAGGACUCCCACGAUGCUCACACACCUGGUCAGUCGCGCUCUCGAGAUCCUGUUCCCUGUCAGUGGAUGGCUCGGGCUCUGCGGCUGCGGUGGGCUCUGGCUCCGUGCGGCGUGA